UACGUAGGGACCGAGCGUUGUCCGGAAUCAUUGGGCGUAAAGCGCGUGUAGGCGGCUUGGUAGGUUUCGUGUUAAAUCCCUCGGCUUAACCGGGGAACUGCGUCUGAUACUGGAUGGCUUGAGUUCGGGAGAGGGAUGUGGAAUUCCAGGUGUAGCGGUGAAAUGCGUAGAUAUCGAGAGGAACACCAGUGGCGAAGGCGAGUCUCUAGACAACUCCUGACACUGAGGCACGAAAGCUAGGGGAGCAAACAGG
RNAcentral lists this ribosomal RNA (253 nucleotides) under uncultured bacterium. RNAcentral's name for it is "partial 16S ribosomal RNA". It matches the Rfam family "Bacterial small subunit ribosomal RNA", at positions 524 to 776 of the family's 1533-position model. The record is from RNAcentral.